Molecule: ribosomal RNA, 292 nt
Filed under: uncultured bacterium
Lineage: Bacteria
Description: partial 16S ribosomal RNA
Source: RNAcentral
GGACUACUGGGGUUUCUAAUCCUGUUUGCUCCCCACGCUUUCGCGUCUCAGCGUCAGUAACGUCCCAGUGAGCUGCCUUCGCCAUUGGUGUUCCUCCUGAUAUCUGCGCAUUUCACCGCUACACCAGGAAUUCCACUCACCUCUUCCGUACUCUAGCUCGACAGUUUCCACCGGCAUUUCAGGGUUGAGCCCUGAACUUUCACAGCGGACUUAUCGAGCCGCCUACACGCGCUUUACGCCCAAUGAUUCCGGACAACGCUUGCCCCCUACGUAUUACCGCGGCGGCUGGCAC